CCUACGGGAGGCAGCAGUAGGGAAUCUUGCGCAAUGGGCGAAAGCCUGACGCAGCCAUGCCGCGUGAAUGAUGAAGGUCUUAGGAUUGUAAAAUUCUUUCACCGGGGACGAUAAUGACGGUACCCGGAGAAGAAGCCCCGGCUAACUUCGUGCCAGCAGCCGCGGUAAUACGAAGGGGGCUAGCGUUGCUCGGAAUUACUGGGCGUAAAGGGAGCGUAGGCGGAUAGUUUAGUCAGAGGUGAAAGCCCAGGGCUCAACCUUGGAACUGCCUUUGAUACUGGCUAUCUUGAGUAUGGGAGAGGUGAGUGGAACUCCGAGUGUAGAGGUGAAAUUCGUAGAUAUUCGGAAGAACACCAGUGGCGAAGGCGACUCACUGGCCCAUUACUGACGCUGAGGCUCGAAAGCGUGGGGAGCAAACAGGAUUAGAUACCCGUGGUAGUCCACGCCGUAAACGAUGAGUGCUAGUUGUCGGCAUGCAUGCAUGUCGGUGACGCGA
RNAcentral lists this ribosomal RNA (496 nucleotides) under uncultured bacterium. RNAcentral's name for it is "bacterial SSU rRNA". It matches the Rfam family "Bacterial small subunit ribosomal RNA", at positions 338 to 851 of the family's 1533-position model. The record is from RNAcentral.